ACGAACGCUGGCGGCGUGCUUAAUACAUGCAAGUCGCACGAGAAAGUCUUCGGACGAGUAGAGUGGCGCACGGGAGAGUAAUACAUAGGAACGUACCAUCGAGUGGGGAAUAACGACUGGAAACGGUCGCUAAUACCGCAUGGUGUCGAGAGACUAAAGAGGGCCUCUAUUUAUAAGCUCUCGCUUGAUGAGCGGCCUAUGUCCCAUUAGCUAGUUGGCGGGGUAAAAGCCCACCAAGGCGACGAUGGGUAGCUGGUCUGAGAGGAUGAUCAGCCUCACUGGGACUGAGACACGGCCCAGACUCCUACGGGAGGCAGCAGUAGGGAAUUUUGCACAAUGGGCGCAAGCCUGAUGCAGCAACGCCGCGUGAGUGAAGAAGGCCCUUGGGUUGUAAAGCUCUUUCGGCCGGGAAGAAGAGUCACUCUGCGAACAGUUGGGUGAUUUGACGGUACCGGAAGAAGAAGCACCUGCUAACUACGU
This 480-nucleotide ribosomal RNA is filed under the name uncultured bacterium. RNAcentral's name for it is "bacterial SSU rRNA". It matches the Rfam family "Bacterial small subunit ribosomal RNA", at positions 29 to 506 of the family's 1533-position model. The record is from RNAcentral.